CUUGAGGAAUUUAACCACUUUGUAUCUUUAUGAAAACAAGCUUUCUGGUUCCAUCCCUCAUGAAAUUGGAUUGUUGAGAUCUCUUAAUGAUCUUGACUUGUCAAAUAACAAUCUCAGUGGUCUCAUCCCACCUUCCAUAGGAAACUUGAGGAAUUUAACCACUUUAUAUCUUCAAAAAAACAAGCUUUCUGGUUCUAUCCCUCAAGAAAUUGGAUUGUUGAGAUCUCUUAAUGAUCUUGCGUUCUAUACUAACAAUCUUAGUGGUCCCAUCCCAUCUUCCAUAGGAAACUUAAGGAAUUUAACCACUUUGCAUCUUUAUGAAAACAAGCUUUCUGGUUCCAUCCCUCAUGAAAUUGGAUUGUUCAGAUCUCUUAAUGAUCUUGCGUUGUCUACUAACAAUCUUAGUGGUCCCAUCCCACCUUCCAUAGGAAACUUGAGGAAUUUAACCACUUUGCAUCUUUAUGAAAACAAGCUUUCUAGUCCCAUCCCUCAUGAAAUUGGAUUGUUCAGAUCUCUUAAUGAUCUUGAGUUGUCAACUAACAAUCUCAGUGGUCCUAUCCCACCUUCCAUAGGAAACUUGAGGAAUUUAACCACUUUGUAUCUUGAUGAAAACGAGCUUUCUAGUUACAUCCCUCAUGAAAUUGGAUUGUUGAGAUGUCUUAAUGAUCUUGUGUUGCAUAUUAACAAUCUCAAUGGUCCCAUCCCGCUUUCCAUAGGAAACUUGAGGAAUUUAACCACUUUGUAUCUUUAUGAAAAAAAGCUUUCUGGUUCCAUCCCUCAUGAAAUUGGAUUUUUGAGAUCUCUUAAUGAUCUUGACUUGUCAAAUAACAAUCUCAGUGGUCCUAUCCCACCUUCCAUAGGAAACUUGAGGAAUUUAACCACUUUGUAUCUUUAUGAAAACAAGCUUUCUGGUUCCAUCCCUCAUGAAAUUGGAUUGUUGAGAUCUCUUAAUGAUCUUGAGUUUUCAAAUAACAAUCCCAGUGGCCUCAUCCCACCUUCCAUAGGAAACUUGAGGAAUCUAACCACUUUGUAUCUUCAUAAAAACAAGCUUUCUGGUUCUAUCCCUCAAGAAAUUGGAUUGUUGAGAUCUCUUAAUGAUCUUGAGUUGUCAACUAAUAGUCUCAGUGGUCCUAUAUCGCCUUCCAUAGGAAACUUGAGGAAUUUAACCACUUUGUAUCUUUAUGAAAACAAGCUUUUUGGUUCCAUCCCUCAUGAAAUUGGAUUGUUGAGAUCUCUUAAUGAUCUUGACUUGUCAAAUAACAAUCUCAGUGGUCUCAUCCCACCUUCCAUAGGAAACUUGAGGAAUUUAACCAUUUUGUAUCUUCAGAAAAACAAGAUUUCUGGUCCCAUCCCUCAAGAAAUUGGAUUGUUGAGAUCUCUUAAUGAUCUUGCGUUCUAUACUAACAAUCUCAGUGGUCCCAUCCCACAUUCCAUAGGAAACUUAAGGAAUUUAACCACUUUGCAUCUUUAUGAAAACAAGCUUUCUGGUCCCAUCUCUCAUGAAAUUGGAUUGUUCAGAUCUCUUAAUGAUCUUGAGUUGUCAAUUAACAAUCUCAGUGGUCCUAUCCCACCUUCCAUAGGAAACUUGAGGAAUUUAACCACUUUGUAUCUUGAUGAAAAAAAGCUUUCUGGUUCCAUCCCUCAUGAAAUUGGAUUGUUGAGAUCUCUUAAUGAUCUUGCGUUCCAUACUAACAAUCUCAAUGGUCCCAUCCCGCCUUCCAUAGGAAACUUGAGGAAUUUAACCACUUUGCAUCUUUAUGAAAACAAGCUUUCUGGUCCCAUCCCUCAUGAAAUUGGAUUGUUCAGAUCUCUUAAUGAUCUUGAGUUGUCAACUAACAAUCUCAGUGGUCCUAUCCCACCUUCCAUAGGAAACUUGAGGAAUUUAACCACUUUGUAUCUUGAUGAAAACGAGCUUUCUAGUUACAUCCCUCAUGAAAUUGGAUUGUUGAGAUGUCUUAAUGAUCUUGCGUUGCAUACUAACAAUCUCAAUGGUCCCAUCCCGCCUUCCAUAGGAAACUUGAGGAAUUUAACCACUUUGUAUCUUUUUGAAAA
This 2052-nucleotide long non-coding RNA is filed under the name Vitis vinifera (wine grape). RNAcentral's name for it is "long non-coding RNA (VVIN_LNC003479)". The record is from RNAcentral. Lineage: Eukaryota; Viridiplantae; Streptophyta; Magnoliopsida; Vitales; Vitaceae.